UCCAGACUCCUACGGGAGGCAGCAGUGGGGGAUAUUGCACAAUGGGGGAAACCCUGAUGCAGCGACGCCGCGUGGGUGAAGAAGCGCCUCGGCGCGUAAAGCCCUGUCAGCAGGGAAGAAAAUGACGGUACCUGAAGAAGAAGCCCCGGCUAACUACGUGCCAGCAGCCGCGGUAAUACGUAGGGGGCAAGCGUUAUCCGGAUUUACUGGGUGUAAAGGGGGCGCAGGCGGCGAUGCAAGCCAGGAGUGAAAGCCCGGGGCCCAACCCCGGGACUGCUCUUGGAACUGCGUGGCUGGAGUACAGGAGGGGCAGGCGGAAUUCCUGGUGUAGCGGUGAAAUGCGUAGAUAUCAGGAGGAACACCGGUGGCGAAGGCGGCCUGCUGGACUGCAACUGACGUUGAGGCCCGAAAGCGUGGGGAGCAAACAGGAUUAGAUACCCUAGUA
Molecule: ribosomal RNA, 445 nt
Filed under: uncultured bacterium
Lineage: Bacteria
Description: bacterial SSU rRNA
Rfam family: Bacterial small subunit ribosomal RNA
Source: RNAcentral